Molecule: ribosomal RNA, 445 nt
Filed under: uncultured bacterium
Lineage: Bacteria
Description: partial 16S ribosomal RNA
Rfam family: Bacterial small subunit ribosomal RNA
Source: RNAcentral
GUGAGGAAUAUUGGUCAAUGGACGAGAGUCUGAACCAGCCAAGUCGCGUGAAGGAAGACGGUUCUAUGAAUUGUAAACUUCUUUUGUGCAGGAAUAAAGUGGGUUACGUGUAACCUUUUGUAUGUACUGUACGAAUAAGGAUCGGCUAAUUCCGUGCCAGCAGCCGCGGUAAUACGGAGGAUCCGAGCGUUAUCCGGAUUUAUUGGGUUUAAAGGGUGCGUAGGUGGAUUGAUAAGUCAGCGGUGAAAGUUUGCAGCUUAACUGUAAAAUUGCCGUUGAAACUGUCGGUCUUGAGUGCAAAUGAGGUAGGCGGAAUGUGUUGUGUAGCGGUGAAAUGCUUAGAUAUAACACAGAACUCCGAUUGCGAAGGCAGCUUACUGGGAUGCAACUGACACUGAUGCACGAAAGCGUGGGUAUCAAAUAGGAUUAGAAACCCUGGUAGUCC